CUACUCGCAGAACCAUCCUAAUGUUGAGAUUUCAUUUACCUCGAAGUUGGAUGGGUCCCCUCAAGCAGUCAUGGCCCUUUGGGGUUCAUGGGGGUAACCGUCAAUGUCCUUGGCUUGUGUCUGUCCCUAGGCCUGGCUACGGCUGCAAAGGUCUUGGUGUGGGUGAUGGAAGGAGCUGCCUGGCUCCUUUCUCUAUGCCCUUCCAGCUCCAGCCUUGACUUGACAUCUAGCCUUGCCCCUUAUACUCUAGGAUUUGUUCUGACCCCUACAUUUCUACGUGUAAAAAGCUUGCUUUCUUCACAGAGCUUUCCUGCGGUUCUUCUUACCAAGUCAUCUCAGGUCAGCCUUUGUCCUUGACCUUCUUAGCCCCAAGUCUCUGAGUCCUGCCCAUUCUUUGCUAUCUGGUAUCCUUGCUGUCUCAGAACCUCAGUUCUCCAGUGCCUGGGGUCCUGCUCUUAAGCUCCCAUCUCCUAGUGCCCAGGCUCCUGUCUGUCACCGCCUCCCAGCAACUUCACCUCGGUCUGUGUCCAAGCCUCUAGAUGCCUUGUCCCCAAGGGAUUCCCAAGUGUUGACCCCUGAUACUCUUGUAGCCAACUGCCUGAAGUUGCUUGAAGUCAACUGCCUGAAACCCUCAUUUGGGCCAGUUUCCUGUGCUCUCAGCUGGAUCAACAUGCUGGACCUUGGGCUCAGCCUCAGCCUUGGUUCAGGUACUUCUACUCCUCUGGGCCAUUCCCCUCAACCUGCUCUCCAGCUCUUAAAUCCCCCUCUUAAGACGUAGGGUACUUGAGGACAAGCGGUUGGAUGUGGCAACCAGAGAAGGAGGUAAGAGCCAGGUUUGAAGGGACUUGUGGGCCGGCUAAGGAGUUUGAACACUGAGCACAAUGAAGAAGGACUAAUUUUCUUUUCCGCUGAGAGAAAUUGAAAGGAAAGUCUGAUAGCUGCAUAGAGUCCCCAGCAUUGUAAGGGGACAACAGCAGAGGUGACUCCUGAUGGAGAGCAAGGACUGCCGAAGUCUGGACUGGGGAUCGUGGCUGUAGGAUGGCGAGAAGGAACCCAGUGGGGUCACCUUCCCCUCCCGUCCACUCAGGCGCAUCCAGUAUACUCUCCGCAUGGCAGCCAGAGUGAUUUUCAUGUGUAAAUCUGUCAUCCGCCCCCAUCCCACCCACCCUUUUCUGUCCUCCUAGAGCAAGGGCCAAAAUCCUUAUAAGAUGCUGAAUAAUAGGGCCUUUGCCUACCUCCCCAUCUCCACCCCCAUCAUUAUUCCUGUAAUUCAUUAUGCUUCAGCCACAAUGGCCUUUCUCAAGGUCUCACUCAUUCCACCUCAUUCAGGACUUGUGCAUACACUCUUCUCUCUGCUUAGAAAUUAAACUCCCCACCCCACGCCCUUGAUCUAGUUAACUCCUGAGGCAUUCUUUAAAUGUCUUCUUAAAGGUCCCUUCCUCAGAGAAGCCCUCCUGGCCCCCCAACUAAGCACUUAAUAACUCUGCGUACUCCUUUCAUAACAUCGUUUCCCUGUUUCCCCGACUAGACUGUGAGCUCUGUGAAGGCAGGGACCUCGUCUACUUUUGCUCACCAUGAGAUACCUAAUGCAACGCCUAGGGCUCAAGACUUACUCACUAAGCGAACAAAUGAGCGAAUUAAACAGAACUUCGUGAACAGAGUGAGGACGGAGCGGGGGAGGAAUCCGUAAUGAUUCCUAGGUUUCUAGCUUGGCAGGGUCGUUGCCAUUGACUGAGGAAGAAAAGUAAGUUGGGGGGAUAGGCUGAAUACGAGGUACUGACAACUUUAAGGUGGCAAUGUGGAAUAGCCUGCAGAUAAGUGGGUCUGAAACUCCAAAGAAAGCUUGGCCAGGGAUAGAAAUUCAGGAGUCACAAUUCCAUAUGCAGUUGGAACCCUGGAGUGGCCAAGAUCACUCAGCAGAAGAAAUAGAUUGAGAAAAGAAGAGGGCUCAGGUAGAAUCACUCACGGAACAAUAACAAGAAAUGGAGGAAGUGAUGGAGUUCAUGAUGACUCAUAGAGAGCUCCCUUCUCCUCCCCCUCCCCUUGAAUUCUGCAAGACAAAUGGUUAGCUCCAAUCUGGAUUGUUCUUGAUGACGACAGAGACCAAAACAUUUCCUUGAACUUCACGCUGGAAUCAUUCACACGGAAGAGGACAUUUCCUUGGACGCCUGCCAGACACAGAAGGGCUUGCUUCUACCGCAGACAGUGUCCUGAUUAGUUUGAGGGGGUCGCGAAUGUUUAUUCUCCAUCUACCACCACGGAAAGCUCCGGGGAGCUGAAAUAUAUUCAGAUUCCUGACUCUUUCUCAACGCCCUGCAGAAACCCAGCAAAGACAGGACAAGGUACGACCCUCGAUGCCAGAGCUGGAGAGACGCCAAGACCCAGGGUCCCUCUGAGCUGAGGGACAGGAAGCCCAAGGAGGAGGUUAGGACUUGAGCAUCUGGGGGCACGGACUAAGGGAAUUUGAACUAAGAAAUCGAGGCUGACAGUGUGGGUCAACCUCCUUAGCUGUGGAGUCCAUGACUUCUAGGUCCUCCUUCAAAUCUCCAAUGCUGCCUGGUCUGUGAUCUUUUGUUAAGGCAGCCGACCAGACCGGCGCACUUGGUUAUGAUCCGACUUCUCAACAGGAUAACUUGCCGGCAGCGGUAGACCUGUGAGGACUGCUUCUCCAGCGACAAUUGGCCCGAUUUGUAGGAUUUGCCAGGCACUGUGGUGUAAAUGUCCUUACCGUGGCCCAUUUUAAGGUGGCGGUGUGCUAUCGCUGAUGAUCUACCAAGCCAAGAAGAGAUGUAUGCCAUUAAAUUUCACCAGCAGUCCCACCAGCUAGUGGCCCAAUGUUUGUCAGCCAAUCCCAGGAGCAAAUAUUUAUAGUAGCUCAUUGUAUAGCAGGAUCUCAUUUGCUUAUUUUUGUUUUGUUUUAAUUUUUUUAAAUGUUUAUUUAUA
Long non-coding RNA from Prionailurus viverrinus (fishing cat), 2943 nucleotides. RefSeq lists it as uncharacterized. The transcript is spliced from 5 exons. The record is from RefSeq and is a predicted model, not a curated record. Lineage: Eukaryota; Metazoa; Chordata; Mammalia; Carnivora; Felidae.